AGAGAGAGACAUGCGCGCAUAUCAAUAAGCGGAGGAAAAGAAACUAACUAGGAUUCCCUCAGUAACGGCGAGUGAAGCGGGAAGAGCUCAAAUUUGAAAUCUUCAAGGUUCUACCUUGACGAAUUGUAGUUUAAAGAAGUGUUUUCUGUUGGAGUUUUGGUAAAAGUUCUUUGGAAUAGGACAUCAUAGAGGGUGAGAAUCCCGUAUUUGACCAUUAUUUCCAGCUUUGUGAUACACUUUCAAAGAGUCGGAUUGUUUGGGAAUGCAGUCCAAAAUGGGUGGUAAAUUUCAUCUAAAGCUAAAUAUUGGCGAGAGACCGAUAGCGAACAAGUACCGUGAGGGAAAGAUGAAAAGAACUUUGAAAAGAGAGUUAAACAGUACGUGAAAUUGUCAAAAGGGAAGCGUUUGACACCAGUGUUGUUUUCUCGAAAAUCAAUUAAAAAAGGCAGGAUUUUGUGUUGUAUUGACUUUAUCAGCUUUCUGCACUCUUUUCUUGUCUUUUUUAAUGCACUUUUCGUUUAACAAGUCAACAUCAAUUUCUUUUGUUGUAAAAGGGUCAUUGGAAGGUGGCUUUCUUUUCGGAGAAAGUGUUUAUAGCCUUUGGCCUCUGCAAUCGGAGAGAUUGAGGUCUGCAGCGUAGAUCCUUCGGGGUAGAUACAUUUGUGCUAAGUUAUAGCCUUUUAUAGACAACUUGUUGACUAUGAUCAGUCAUGUAGCUUACUCGCUUAUGCUAUUUUACCUACGCUUAGGAUGUUGAUGUGAUACUGCGAGC
Molecule: ribosomal RNA, 772 nt
Filed under: uncultured Neocallimastigales
Lineage: Eukaryota; Fungi; Neocallimastigomycota; Neocallimastigomycetes; Neocallimastigales
Description: partial large subunit ribosomal RNA
Rfam family: Eukaryotic large subunit ribosomal RNA
Source: RNAcentral